UAGGGAAUCUUCGGCAAUGGGGGGAACCCUGACCGAGCAACGCCGCGUGAGUGAAGAAGGUUUUCGGAUCGUAAAGCUCUGUUGUUAAGGAAGAACGAGUGCGAGAAUGGAAAGUUCAUACUGUGACGGUACUUAACCAGAAAGGGACGGCUAACUACGUGCCAGCAGCCGCGGUAAUACGUAGGUCCCGAGCGUUGUCCGGAUUUAUUGGGCGUAAAGCGAGCGCAGGCGGUUAGAUAAGUCUGAAGUUAAAGGCAGUGGCUCAACCAUUGUAGGCUUUGGAAACUGUUUAACUUGAGUGCAGAAGGGGAGAGUGGAAUUCCAUGUGUAGCGGUGAAGUGCGUAGAUAUAUGGAGGAACACCGGUGGCGAAAGCGGCUCUCUGGCCUGUAACUGACGCUGAGGCUCGAAAGCGUGGGGAGCGAACAGGAUUAGAUACCCUGGUAGUCCACGCCGUAACGAUGAGUGCUAGGUGUUAGGUCCUUUCCGGGACUUAGUGCCGCAGCUAACGCAUUAAGCACUCCGCCUGGGGAGUACGACCGCAAGGUUG
RNAcentral lists this ribosomal RNA (549 nucleotides) under uncultured bacterium. RNAcentral's name for it is "bacterial SSU rRNA". It matches the Rfam family "Bacterial small subunit ribosomal RNA", at positions 355 to 896 of the family's 1533-position model. The record is from RNAcentral.